ACACCGAAAUUAACGAAAAAUGGCAUCGAGGUUAAUACAACGAGGCGUCGAGCACCUAAAAAGUAAAGAGUUUCGUGAUUAUCUUAUGAGGGCCUGAUGUCGGGUAGACCGUUCGCCUGGUGCAAGUCUUUCAAUGUGACAUCACUUCAGCGACUUGCGUGUUGAUGGGGAUGAAACGAUGUUGAUGAUAAGGACAAAACACAACACCCAGUCCCUGAGCAGGGAAAAUGUUCGACCCAGCUGGGAAUCAAACCCAGGCCUUUAGCACACACUUCUGGGGACCUGUUGCCAACUGGGGAAUACCUAUAGCAGCAAUAGCAGAUACACAGAAAAGCCCAG
Schistocerca gregaria is the source of this 339-nucleotide long non-coding RNA. RefSeq lists it as uncharacterized. The record is from RefSeq and is a predicted model, not a curated record. The transcript is spliced from 3 exons. Lineage: Eukaryota; Metazoa; Arthropoda; Insecta; Orthoptera; Acrididae.